RNAcentral lists this long non-coding RNA (619 nucleotides) under Setaria viridis. RNAcentral's name for it is "long non-coding RNA (SVIR_LNC002341)". Lineage: Eukaryota; Viridiplantae; Streptophyta; Magnoliopsida; Poales; Poaceae. The record is from RNAcentral.
GAUGACGUGGUAAAAUUUGGGAUUAAUUGGAGGAAGUUUGGCGCAUGAAAUGACGGGUUAAACAUGAUUUAGGGGCUUAAACGGAGGUUUAGGACUGAUUUGUAAUAAACCAGGGACCUAUUUGUAAAUACUUUUGGAAGUGGAGGGGCUUAUUCGUGAGGUUUCCUUUGAGAGAGGUGGGAGGGCUAUUUCGCGAAUAGUGGAUUUCAGGGGGUUAGAUCGGAAUUUGGCUUUCUUCUUCCUCUUGUGCGCACAGUACACCGGGAGAGAGAGAGAGAGGGAGGGCACGACCGGCCUAGGGGCGGCGGCUUAGGGUCGCCGGCGGCGAGGGGAGGCGGCGGGAGAAGGCGGAGAGGUUCGUGGAGGCUCCAUUUUGCUACUCACCUUGGGGAUUUGGGUAAGGGAAGGGGUGCGGCCGGUGGUGGAUCUUGGCGGCGGCUCGGGUGGUACACGGGUGGCGGCGGCGGUUGUGGGCGCAGGAGGAUGGGGUGGGCGUGGAGGAGAUGGCCGGGGCGUCGCCCCUUUUAUAGGCCGGCGAGGUGGCCGGCGGGGCCGGAACCGGCGGGCGGUGGUGGGAGUCCGGCAGGAGAUGGAGUGUGGCGGGCUGCGCCGGGGCGGG